GAUGAACGCUGGCGGCGUGCCUAAUACAUGCAAGUCGAGCGAACAGACGAGGAGCUUGCUCCUCUGACGUUAGCGGCGGACGGGUGAGUAACACGUGGUUACCCUACGUGGAGGAUGGGGACACCUUAGGGAAACCGAUACUAAAACCGGACAAAAAUUGAAACCCCAGGGUCGAAAGGUCAAGGACGGUUUGGCUGGCCCUUAUAGUUGGACCGCGCCGGAUUAGUUAGUUGGUAAGGUAACGGCUUACCAAGGCAACGAUGCGUAGCCGACCUGAGAGGGUGAUCGGCCACACUGGAACUGAGACACGGUCCAGACUCCUACGGGAGGCAGCAGUAGGGAAUCUUCCGCAAUGGGCGAAAGCCUGACGGAGCAACGCCGCGUGAGUGAUGAAGGUCUUCGGAUCGUAAAACUCUGUUAUUAGGGAAGAACAAAUGUGUAAGUAACUAUGCACGUCUUGACGGUACCUAAUCAGAAAGCCACGGCUAACUACGUG
Molecule: ribosomal RNA, 496 nt
Filed under: uncultured bacterium
Lineage: Bacteria
Description: partial 16S ribosomal RNA
Rfam family: Bacterial small subunit ribosomal RNA
Source: RNAcentral